RNAcentral lists this ribosomal RNA (253 nucleotides) under uncultured bacterium. Its description in RNAcentral is "partial 16S ribosomal RNA". It matches the Rfam family "Bacterial small subunit ribosomal RNA", at positions 28 to 280 of the family's 1533-position model. The record is from RNAcentral.
GACGAACGCUGGCGGCGUGCUUAACACAUGCAAGUCGAGCGGUAAGGCCCUUUCGGGGGUACACGAGCGGCGAACGGGUGAGUAACACGUGGGUGACCUGCCCUCAGCUCGUGGGAUAAGCCCGGGAAACUGGGUCUCAUACCGGAUAUGACUUCAUGACGCAUGUUGUGGAGUGGAAAGCCUUGUGCGGCUGAGGAUGGGCCCGCGGCCUAUCAGCUUGGUUGGUGGGGUGANGGCCUACCAAGGCGACGAC